This is a long non-coding RNA of Portunus trituberculatus (swimming crab), 342 nucleotides long. RefSeq lists it as uncharacterized. The record is from RefSeq and is a predicted model, not a curated record. NCBI's taxonomy places the organism in Eukaryota, Metazoa, Arthropoda, Malacostraca, Decapoda, Portunidae. The transcript is spliced from 2 exons.
GAAGGCUGAGAAGGGCAAGAAGAGGAAGAAAGAUGAUGAAGUGUGAGUGAGGGACUGAGGAAGAGAAAGAGGCGUAUGGAGUGUGGUUAACUUUCCCUUCCCUGCUGGAAUGCAUGUCAAGCCCAGUCCUGCAUGUGAAUGAGGGUGUCCCUUGCUCAGCCUUACUGCCACCAUCACCUUCUACCUUGUGCUACUUUCUGAGAGUAGCCACAUGCUGUCUUGGUGAACACUGGACACAGCACAGACCUCAAGGCAGUACUGUGCCAACACUCAGCCUGCCCUGCAUCAUGCUUCAAGGGUGUAAUCAUUGUGUACCCAACAAAUGAAAUCUCUAUUAAUACU